This 65-nucleotide transfer RNA is filed under the name Ovalipes punctatus. Its description in RNAcentral is "tRNA-Cys". It matches the Rfam family "tRNA". From Rfam's summary of the family: Transfer RNA (tRNA) molecules are approximately 80 nucleotides in length. Their secondary structure includes four short double-helical elements and three loops (D, anti-codon, and T loops). The record is from RNAcentral. Lineage: Eukaryota; Metazoa; Arthropoda; Malacostraca; Decapoda; Ovalipidae.
AGGUUCUAUAGUAAAAUUAUAACGUUAGAUUGCAAAUCUAAAGAUGUGGGUGACACUGGAACUUA